RNAcentral lists this transfer RNA (69 nucleotides) under Polypedilum heberti. RNAcentral's name for it is "tRNA-Leu". The record is from RNAcentral. Lineage: Eukaryota; Metazoa; Arthropoda; Insecta; Diptera; Chironomidae.
ACUAUUUUGGCAGAAAAAUGCAUUAAAUUUAGAAUUUAAAAAUAUAAAAUUUUAAUUUUAUAAGUAGUA